CCGGCCUUUGCUGCCCUGCGCCCGGGUGCAGACCCUUUCCCUAAGCAGUGGCAAGACUUGCAAGUGGCCCAGUGGAGGCAUUAGGCCGGAAAAAGAGGCUUCGGGAGGAGUGACGUAGGUGGGAGGUGGGCAUGCAACUUGCUUCUCAGAUUCAUGACACUUAGCCCCAAGUUGGCAGACACGUCCAUGAGCCCACGGAGCUUUUGGUUUCCCACAAGCCGCAUUCUCAGUAUUUCAAAAUAAUCUGAUGGCAAGAAAACUUCAACUCCUGUAGGUCAAAGAGGGACACAUUUAACACCACCGCCUCGCAGUAGCGAGACAGAGAACAAACCCUGGCGAUCCUCAACUGCAGAGCCCAACCCCAUGUCCGCAUCUCUCCGAGGCCAGCGGGGACAGACUGGGUCCGCUCUGCAGAGAACCCCCCCCCCCUGCGGGAGGGGCAAGACAGCGCGCAGAGGAGCAGAUUACUGUGGGACCGCACAAACGCAAGCCCAUCCGAGGAGGAGUUGUGCCAGGAACACUACCGCCUGCAUUGCGUCGGACCUGCCCAUUUCCAAUGUGAAACUCCCGGGGAAGGUCGCGGCGGAGGACCGUGUGUGUGCGGGGCUGUGGACCACAGGGGAAGGAGAACUGGUGGUCGGCUUUUCUGGCAGGAGAAGAAAAAAGCUGUGCUGGCAAGGCCUCCGGAACUCCCCGCACCCAAAAAAGAGCGGCGUCUCCAGGUUGCUGGCCGCGGGUGAGAAUGGGAGUAGGGAAUGGACAUUUUCGCCGUACCUGCCCAAUAAAGCGACUGGUCAGCUGAAGGAACCCAGGACGAGGAGCAAGGGCGGCGCGUUGGCCCCGGCGCCCCUCGGAUGCUGCGGCGGCCGCAGCUCGCGCCCGGGUACCGCAAAGGCGACCUGCCGCAUUCCCACUCGGGCUCUCCGCCGACUCUGCACCGCUCCUGCGCCAAGCCGGCCGGCCAGCAUCCAUCGAUUGCCCUGGUGGGAGCUUAGAAGGCGGCAGGCGAAGAGGGCUAGGAGGGGGGAGAGCCGAGGAGAAGCAGAGGGGGUGGCAGGCGAGGGGAUCUGCUGAGCUGGCUCUGCACCGGGUCCCAGGAGGGCUCGCGGAGGGGAGGGGAGGCCAGGGUGACCUGUCAGCGAUGGCCCGGUCCGCUAGAACGGCUUUGCCUUAAGGCACUCGGAGCAGGACGAAACUCCCCCCCGCCUCCACCGCCCACCCACCCCGGCGGAAAGCUGCUUCCCGGGCGUCAGGCAAGGGGGAUUUCAAACGGAGGAACAGACAGGGUGGAGGGGACCAGCUCGAGGAGCGGAGUGGCGGAUCUCUCCACCUGCUGGCUCGGAAGCCCCGCCCCCUGAGCGCAGGGGAGCCGCGCACACCGGUGGGGGGGGCGCGCGGGUCCCCCCCACCCCGCCUCCCCCGCCCCCCCCCCCCCCCCCCCCCGCCCCCCCCCCCCCCCCGCCCCCCCCCGCCCCAGGCCCGCCCCGGGUCUCCCGCCGCCGCCGCCGCCGCUGCCGCCGCCCCCGGCUUCCACC
RNAcentral lists this long non-coding RNA (1535 nucleotides) under Sus scrofa (pig). RNAcentral's name for it is "lncRNA (ENSSSCG00040027372.1)". Lineage: Eukaryota; Metazoa; Chordata; Mammalia; Artiodactyla; Suidae. The record is from RNAcentral.